RNAcentral lists this ribosomal RNA (253 nucleotides) under uncultured bacterium. Its description in RNAcentral is "partial 16S ribosomal RNA". It matches the Rfam family "Bacterial small subunit ribosomal RNA", at positions 524 to 776 of the family's 1533-position model. The record is from RNAcentral.
GACAGAGGAUGCAAGCGUUAUCCGGAAUGAUUGGGCGUAAAGCGUCUGUAGGUGGCUUUUCAAGUCCGCCGUCAAAUCCCAGGGCUCAACCCUGGACAGGCGGUGGAAACUGUCGAGCUAGAGUCCGGAAGAGGCGAGUGGAAUUCCUGGUGUAGCGGUGAAAUGCGUAGAGAUCAGGAAGAACACCCGUGGCGAAGGCAGCACUCUGGGACGUGACUGACGCUGAGACGCGAAAGCGUGGGGAGCAAACAGG